UACGUAGGUGGCAAGCGUUGUUCGGAAUUAUUGGGCGUAAAGGGCGCGUAGGCGGCGUGUCAAGUCAGGCGUGAAAGCCCCGGGCUCAACCUGGGAACCGCGCUUGAGACUGGCAUGCUCGAGUUCGGGAGAGGAUGGUGGAAUUCCCAGUGUAGAGGUGAAAUUCGUAGAUAUUGGGAAGAACACCGAUGGCGAAGGCAGCCAUCUGGACCGAUACUGACGCUGAGGAGCGAAAGCGUGGGGAGCAAACAGG
RNAcentral lists this ribosomal RNA (253 nucleotides) under uncultured bacterium. RNAcentral's name for it is "partial 16S ribosomal RNA". It matches the Rfam family "Bacterial small subunit ribosomal RNA", at positions 524 to 776 of the family's 1533-position model. The record is from RNAcentral.